GGUGAACGCUGGCGGCGUGCCUAAUACAUGCAAGUCGAGCGAACAGACGAGGAGCUUGCUCCUCUGACGUUAGCGGCGGACGGGUGAGUAACACGUGGAUAACCUACCUAUAAGACUGGGAUAACUUCGGGAAACCGGAGCUAAUACCGGAUAAUAUAUUGAACCGCAUGGUUCAAUAGUGAAAGACGCUUUUGCUGUCACUUAUAGAUGGAUCCGCGCCGCAUUAGCUAGUUGGUAAGGUAACGGCUUACCAAGGCAACGAUGCGUAGCCGACCUGAGAGGGUGAUCAGCCACACUGGAACUGAGACACGGUCCAGACUCCUACGGGAGGCAGCAGUAGGGAAUCUUCCGCAAUGGGCGAAAGCCUGACAGAGCAACGCCGCGUGAGUGAUGAAGGUCUUCGGAUCGUAAAGCUCUGUUAUUAGGGAAGAACAGCUGUGUAAGUAACUAUGCACGUCUUGACGGUACCUAAACAGAAAGCCACGGCUAACUACGUG
This 497-nucleotide ribosomal RNA is filed under the name uncultured bacterium. RNAcentral describes it as "partial 16S ribosomal RNA". It matches the Rfam family "Bacterial small subunit ribosomal RNA", at positions 28 to 507 of the family's 1533-position model. The record is from RNAcentral.